AUUUCUACUAACUUAAAGCAAAGAAUGGGUUGGAAUAUUUAAAAAAGCCUAAGCAUAAACAGAUUCAACUGACAUAAUAAUGAAAUUUUUGGAUGAAGUGACAUUCCUGUCAUGUAGGUCCUGUUGACAACAAUGCAGUCACUUGCAAUAUUGUGGUCAAAGGGAGGGGCAUUGAUAGGAUAUACAGGUAGUUGUUAGCAUCAUACAAUGACCAUAUACAGAAAGUCCAGAAUAGAGGUUGAGCUGUUUUGAAUGCGCUGUGCUUGCCCCGUAUGACCAAGGUUUUGUUGACAGCAGGCAGGUUUUGACACCAACGACCCGACUGAUGAAGGGCACCGUGACACGAUAGCUGGGCACAACUAUAGCACGUGGCACAUGGACAAAGCAUUUAGCAUGCCUUCUGCUCCAAACAAAGCGGCAAUCUUUGCAUCCCAAAAUAGCUUCAAGAGAAACAACCUUCAAAGCAGUGUUGGAAGAAGAGAUCGCCAAAAGUCCUGUAGCAGGAUGAGAUCAUGGCAGCAAGCUAAGAGUGCGAGCACCACACAGUACUGCUACAGCCAAGAGAUCACCAAGAGAAAGAAAAAAGGGGGACUACUGGUGGCUAUAGCAUGACCACAACCAUUCACACCAGAGUCUACACCAUCUCAGCAAGUUGGCGCCUGUCACCAAUACAGUGAGGGUUGGCUGUCUGGAACACACUGUUCUUUCUCUGUAUGUAGCAUCUAUUUGCAGGGCUGGUUGCCUAACCAUGAUAUAGCCUUAGCUGCUGAGUAAAACACCAAUCCCCCCUCCCCUGGCUGAGACUGGCUCAUCUGACUUCUGCUGGCUGUAACACAGUUUCAGAAUGUAAAGCUUGAGGAUAAAUACUGCAGUCUUCACACAUGUAGUGUGCGACCUUCUGCGGAUUAAAAAAUAUUAAUUAUACAAGGGGACUCAAAAGAUCAAUGCACACCUUCCAGACAUUGGCCUUCCUCGACUAAACAUGGAAGGAACUGCGAACUGCAGAACUCCCUAACUUACCUGUCCCAAUGAAUGCUUUAAUCCUCCACUAAAACCUUACUCUCAAAAUAUUUCUUGCCAUAAUACAGACUUUGCAAACAUGUGUAUCCAGAAUAAUUUGUACAUAUAGUACAUACACAAUAGCUCAUCAGCAUCCACAGUACAAAGCAAGCAAAGCAUUCUUCACACCUUUUGCAAUGUAUGUUUAUUUUUUUUAAAUCCCCAUGAUUAUUGCAUUGGAUUUUCAUUUGAAAAUUCAGAACUGCUUUAAGAGAACUUAAAACAAAAAACAAAAUAACCCCCAAACUGAUACUGAUUCUCUAGUGUUUCAGUACAUCAGAAGCUGGUGUCACUAGCAACACAGAAACUGGGAAGUUGUGCACCCAUUUUACUUGAUUAUUGUCUGUACCCAUAAUCCACUUGUCUCUCUCUUUAGCAGGCCUGUAAGUCUUUCAUCUUCUGAAUGCAAGGGAAUAGAUCAAUGACUCUUCAUUCAUUUUAUUACCUGUGAUCAAAGACUUUCAAAGCUUUAGUGAACAAUUUAAAAAAAAAAAGCCUGAUACUCUCUUAGAUAUCUGUUCAAUCCUGCUCUAUCACAGUCCAUCUGUUAAACCAAAGACACAAGAUAAAUCAAAUGUGUGGUAUAAGCAUGACUGUAAUAGGUAUACAGCGCAAAUCAGUGAAGAAAUACGAGAACCAGAGAUAUAUAUGUACAGGGAUGUCUGAUAAACUAGAGGCAUGUGUACAGGCAUAUCUGAUGAACCAGAGAUACAAUAAUCCCUUGCUAUAUCGUGGUUCACUUAUUGCAGCUUUACUGUAUCAUAAUUUUAAAAAAAUGUAUAUAAUUCUGUGUUGCAGAGUUUUUGCUAUAUCAUGGGAUUUUGCAGUAUAUAAGUAUUUAUAUAAUAUUUUUUAUUUUAAUCAUUCAAGUUGUAGCAUGCUUCAUUGGUGAGUAUCUAUAAAAAAUUGUAUAUGUUGUUAAAAUUACAUAGGUUUAAGACUGUAGAAAGUGUUUUAGAGCAUAAGAAGUGUUUAAUGCCUUAAAAUAUAUAUAUAAAAUAGAAUAAAUAUAAUGUCACAACUUGUGGAUUUUCACUUAUCACAGGGGACUCUGGGACGUAACCCCUGCGAUAGGUGAGGGAUCACUGAAUGCAAUUAAAGUAUGACACAUGAAUCAGUCAAAUGUCUCACUGAGAUAUACAUGUAGCUGCUUGUAUUUGUAAAAUUAAAAUAAAGGGAAAAUCC
Molecule: long non-coding RNA, 2244 nt
Organism: Pomacea canaliculata
Lineage: Eukaryota; Metazoa; Mollusca; Gastropoda; Architaenioglossa; Ampullariidae
Exons: 2
Source: RefSeq, a predicted model, not a curated record